This 433-nucleotide ribosomal RNA is filed under the name Acanthamoeba sp. IS5/T4. Its description in RNAcentral is "SSU rRNA". It matches the Rfam family "Eukaryotic small subunit ribosomal RNA", at positions 764 to 1090 of the family's 1831-position model. Lineage: Eukaryota; Discosea; Longamoebia; Acanthamoebidae. The record is from RNAcentral.
AAAUAGAGUGUCAAGCAGGCAGAUCCAAUUUUCUGCCACCGAAUACAUUAGCAUGGGCAUAAUGGAAUAGGACCCUGUCCUCCUAUUUUCAGUUGGUUUUGGCAGCGCGAGGACUAGGGUAAUGAUUAAUAGGGAUAGUUGGGGGCAUUAAUAUUUAAUUGUCAGAGGUGAAAUUCUUGGAUUUAUGAAAGAUUAACUUCUGCGAAAGCAUCUGCCAAGGAUGUUUUCAUUAAUCAAGAACGAAAGUUAGGGGAUCGAAGACGAUCAGAUACCGUCGUAGUCUUAACCAUAAACGAUGCCGACCAGCGAUUAGGAGACGUUGAAUACAAAACACCACCAUCGGCGCGGUCGUCCUUGGCGUCGGUCCUUCACGGGGCCGGCGCGAGGGCGGCUUAGCCCGGUGGCACCGGUGAAUGACUCCCCUAGCAGCUUG